UCAAGCGAAUAAGCGCACACGGUGGAUGCCUUGGCGGUCAGAGGCGAUGAAGGACGUGGCAGCCUGCGAAAAGUAUCGGGGAGCUGGCAACAAGCUUUGAUCCGGUAAUGUCCGAAUGGGGAAACCCACCCGCUUGCGGGUAUCCUGCAGUGAAUACAUAGCUGCUGGAAGCGAACCUGGUGAACUGAAAUAUCUAAGUAACCAGAGGAAAAGAAAUCAACCGAGAUUCCGUAAGUAGCGACGAGCGAACGCGGACUAGCCCUUAAGCUGGAUUGGUUCUAGGAAAACGCUCUGGAAAGAGCGGCCAUAGAAGGUGAUAGCCCUGUAUCUGAAAGGGCCAUUCCAGUGAAGACGAGUAGGGCGGGGCACGUGAAACCCUGUCUGAACAUGGGGGGACCAUCCUCCAAGGCUAAAUACUACUGACCGACCGAUAGUGAACCAGUACCGUGAGGGAAAGGCGAAAAGAACCCCGGAGAGGGGAGUGAAAUAGAACCUGAAACCGUGUGCGUACAAGCAGUAGGAGCUCCGCAAGGAGUGACUGCGUACCUUUUGUAUAAUGGGUCAGCGACUUACUGUUCGUGGCAAGCUUAACCGUAUAGGGGAGGCGAAGGGAAACCGAGUCUGAUAAGGGCGCAUAGUCGCGGGCAGUAGACCCGAAACCGGGUGAUCUAGUCAUGCCCAGGGUGAAGGUGCGGUAACACGCACUGGAGGCCCGAACCCACUCCCGUUGCAAAGGUAGGGGAUGAGGUGUGAUUAGGAGUGAAAAGCUAAUCGAACCCGGAGAUAGCUGGUUCUCCUCGAAAGCUAUUUAGGUAGCGCCUCAUAUGUAUCCUCUCGGGGGUAGAGCACUGUUAUGGCUAGGGGGUCAUCGCGACUUACCAAACCAUUGCAAACUCCGAAUACCGAGACGGACUGUAUGGGAGACACACGGCGGGUGCUAACGUCCGUCGUGAAAAGGGAAACAACCCAGACCCACAGCUAAGGUCCCAAAUUCACUGCUAAGUGGAAAACCAUGUGGAAAGGCACAGACAGCCAGGAGGUUGGCUUAGAAGCAGCCACCCUUUAAAGAAAGCGUAAUAGCUCACUGGUCGAGUCGGUCUGCGGGGAAGAUUUAACGGGGCUAAGCAGUGAACCGAAGCUUGGGGUGCAUAACUUUGUUAUGCGCGGUAGAGGAGCGUUCCGUAAGCCGUUGAAGGUGGAUUGAGAAGUCUGCUGGAGGUAUCGGAAGUGCGAAUGCUGACAUGAGUAACGAUAAUGCGGGUGAAAAACCCGCACGCCGAAAGCCCAAGGUUUCCUUGCGCAACGUUAAUCGGCGCAGGGUGAGUCGGCCCCUAAGGCGAGGACGAAAGUCGUAGUCGAUGGGAAGCAGGUUAAUAUUCCUGCACCUCGCGUAAGUGCGAUGGAGGGACGGAGAAGGUUAGGUGUACCAGGCGUUGGUUGUCCUGGGGAAAGGCGGUAGGUUUGGAUCUUUGGCAAAUCCGGGAUCCUCUAAGACCGAGCACCGAGACGAGCCUUUAAGGCGAAGUCACUGAUACCACGCUUCCAGGAAAAGCUCCUAAGCUUCAGCUUACGCAGACCGUACCGUAAACCGACACAGGUGGGUAGGAUGAGAAUUCUCAGGCGCUUGAGAGAACUCGGGUGAAGGAACUAGGCAACAUGGCACCGUAACUUCGGGAGAAGGUGCACCCUUUUUGGUGGCUCGUGCGAGCUAUAGCUGAAGAGGGUCGCAGUAACCAGGCCGCUGCGACUGUUUAUCAAAAACACAGCACUCUGCAAACACGAAAGUGGACGUAUAGGGUGUGACGCCUGCCCGGUGCUGGAAGGUUAAUUGAUGGGGUCAGCCGCAAGGCGAAGCUCUUGAUCGAAGCCCCAGUAAACGGCGGCCGUAACUAUAACGGUCCUAAGGUAGCGAAAUUCCUUGUCGGGUAAGUUCCGACCUGCACGAAUGGCGUAACGACAGCGGCGCUGUCUCCACCCGAGACUCAGUGAAAUUGAAAUCGCUGUGAAGAUGCAGCGUUCCCGUGGCAAGACGGAAAGACCCCGUGAACCUUUACUAUAGCUUUACACUGAACGUUGAGUUCGUCUGUGUAGGAUAGGUGGGAGGCUAUGAAACUGUGGCGCUAGCUGCAGCGGAGCCAUCCUUGAAAUACCACCCUGUCGUGCUUGACGUUCUAACCUGGGCCCAUUAUCUGGGUCGGGGACCGUGUAUGGUGGGUAGUUUGACUGGGGCGGUCUCCUCCUAAAGAGUAACGGAGGAGCUCGAAGGUACGCUCAGCGCGGUCGGACAUCGCGCACUGUGUGCAAAGGCAUAAGCGUGCUUGACUGCAAGAUCGACGGAUCAAGCAGGUAGGAAACUAGGACUUAGUGAUCCGGUGGUUCUGUAUGGAAGGGCCAUCGCUCAACGGAUAAAAGGUACUCCGGGGAUAACAGGCUGAUACCGCCCAAGAGUUCAUAUCGACGGCGGUGUUUGGCACCUCGAUGUCGGCUCAUCACAUCCUGGGGCUGUAGUCGGUCCCAAGGGUAUGGCUGUUCGCCAUUUAAAGUGGUACGCGAGCUGGGUUCAGAACGUCGUGAGACAGUUCGGUCCCUAUCUGCCAUGGGCGUUGGAGAUUUGAGAGGGGCUGCUCCUAGUACGAGAGGACCGGAGUGGACGAACCUCUGGUGUUCCGGUUGUCACGCCAGUGGCAUUGCCGGGUAGCUAUGUUCGGAAGCGAUAACCGCUGAAAGCAUCUAAGCGGGAAGCGCGCCUCAAGAUGAGAUCUCCCGGGGCACAAGCCCCCUGAAGGAACCAUGUAGACUACGUGGUUGAUAGGUCAGGUGUGUAAGUACAGCAAUGUAUUGAGCUAACUGAUACUAAUGAUCCGUGCGGCUUGACCAU
This 2878-nucleotide ribosomal RNA is filed under the name Stenotrophomonas maltophilia. RNAcentral's name for it is "bacterial LSU rRNA". It matches the Rfam family "Bacterial large subunit ribosomal RNA". The record is from RNAcentral. Lineage: Bacteria; Pseudomonadati; Pseudomonadota; Gammaproteobacteria; Lysobacterales; Lysobacteraceae.